RNAcentral lists this ribosomal RNA (274 nucleotides) under uncultured bacterium. RNAcentral describes it as "partial 16S ribosomal RNA". It matches the Rfam family "Bacterial small subunit ribosomal RNA", at positions 523 to 796 of the family's 1533-position model. The record is from RNAcentral.
AUACGGAGGGUGCAAGCGUUACUCGGAAUCACUGGGCGUAAAGCGCGCGCAGGCGGUCUUUUAAGUUGGAUGUGAAAGCCUACGGCUCAACCGUAGAACUGCAUCCAAAACUGUCAGGCUCGAGUGUGGGAGAGGAAGGUGGAAUUAGUUGUGUAGGGGUAAAAUCCGUAGAGAUAACUAGGAAUACCAAAAGCGAAGGCAAUCUUCUGGAACACUACUGACGCUGAGGCGCGAAGGCGUGGGGAGCAAACAGGAUUAGAAACCCGGGUAGUCC